CUUAUUGACAUUAUUGUCUCACCUUGACACUACAGUGUAACCAGUGUUAUCAGACACAGAACUCUAGUAUUGUGUCACCUUGAUAUUAUAGUGUAACCUGUGCUAUCGGACACACUGGGGGACCAGAAAAAAAAUGCCAGAUUAAGCAGGGUGUCGAAAUACCCAAGUUUAUUUUCUGUAAGGAUAGGCUUAUUUUGGGACCAUGAUAAUGUGUUGGUUAAAGCAGGAUGUUGGAAUACUCAGAUGUCAGAUUAGGCAGGUUACACUGUAUAUGUACAAUAUGUAUUUAUUUCAAUCUCUCUG
RNAcentral lists this long non-coding RNA (303 nucleotides) under Mytilus galloprovincialis (Mediterranean mussel). The record is from RNAcentral. Lineage: Eukaryota; Metazoa; Mollusca; Bivalvia; Mytilida; Mytilidae.